RNAcentral lists this unclassified non-coding RNA (400 nucleotides) under soil metagenome. RNAcentral's name for it is "partial contains 5.8S ribosomal RNA, internal transcribed spacer 2, and large subunit ribosomal RNA". The stretch from base 1 to 122 matches the Rfam family "5.8S ribosomal RNA", at positions 35 to 154 of the family's 154-position model. The record is from RNAcentral.
GAUGAAGAACGCAGCGAAAUGCGAUACUUGGUGUGAAUUGCAGAAUCCCGUGAACCAUCGAGUCUUUGAACGCAAGUUGCGCCUCAAGCCAUUAGGUUGAGGGCACGUCUGCCUGGGCGUCACAUAUCGUUGCCUGAUGCCAGUUUCCUCGUGAGGGGUGACUGUGCAGGGCGAAUGAUGGCUUCCCGUGAGCAUUGUUGCCUCAUGGUUGGUUGAAAAUUGAGUCCUUGGUAGGGAGCGCCGUGAUAGAUGGUGGUUGAGUGACGAACGAGACCCAAUCAUGUGAGACCCCUACCGAAUUUGGCCUUCAUGACCCACAUGCGUCUUUGGAACGCUCAUGACGAGACCUCAGGUCAGGCGGGGCUACCCGCUGAGUUUAAGCAUAUCAAUAAGCGGAGGA